Molecule: long non-coding RNA, 1392 nt
Organism: Salvelinus sp. IW2-2015
Lineage: Eukaryota; Metazoa; Chordata; Actinopteri; Salmoniformes; Salmonidae
Source: RefSeq, a predicted model, not a curated record
UUCAGUCCCACCCUUCUCUCCCUCUGGUGGCUUCUUGUGGUUUGGAUCACUUUGAGGGUACACAGCCUGGAGGACCGCUCUCUACGGAACAAGGUGUAUCUGAAGUCACGACUCAACUGUGUGCUUCUGUCCAACAGAGAUCUCGAGGCUAUCUCUAUCGCAAGACACAACCACCACAUCUUAUCUUUGGAAUGCAGGCUCAGUCAGGCCGGAGACAUCUCCCUCUCCUGCACCACUAAUCAGAAUGGAAUGUGGCUGUUGGUUUUAUAGCCAUCACUUAAUCAGAUGCCAGCCCAAGCUUCAAAGACUCCUCUCAGUUCACUCAGAAAGGGAGAGAGAGUUCGAAGAACCYUACUCUAUUGCAUAAAACAACCAUUCGGGUGCAUAAACAGUAUUAUAACAUAAUUUUGUMAUUUUGCUACCAUACACAACAGAUGGCCUUCAUGAUAAAACGCCUCCAACGCCUCCAUGAUUAAAGACGCUUGACCCCAUUUGGGGGGCUGGCUUCUGCAAUGUUAAUUACCCCCUCUUAAAUCUUAAGGCUUUGGUMAUGUUCYGUAUGCAUUUCACACAAGUUUGUACCAUUUGUACCCAAGAUACUGUUUGUUUUUUAGUUUUUAUUUUAGGUUAUGUYAUGUCUGGGUGACUCAGAAAUUGUGUCGACAAUGGUCUUUAUCAACAUUCCCACCCUGGUGUUCUUAGUCUCUUCUUGUGCAGUUAUAUUUCAUGAUUGCUAUUUGGCUGCUUCAACCACUGCUUUGUAUAUUCUGGUUCUUGAUGAUUAAAUAAAUCAGUCUUGUCUUAAAAACAAAAAUGUUUCCAAAUGACCAGUAGUGGAGAGCUUAAGGAAAAGACUGUUCUCUUUAUGAGGAACGCAGCAGGUCUAGAGGUCUGCCAAAGCCUGUGUUGUGGUUGUACUGAUUGUUUUCCCAUUGAGUCUGUACUGGAAAUGCAUUAGCCAAAGUCUCCCAUUAAAACCAUAACCACUGGUGUUGUGUGCAUGCCUUGCUGUAACAACUUCAUUGAAAUGUAGCCAACAUUAAACAUGUACAAAUUGAAAUUUUGGCAACAACUAUAAAAUAUAUAUUAAAUGUACAAUAUCCCAGGGCUAUAACAAUUUCUCAUAUGAACUCUGAACGUGUGUGUGUGUGUGUGUGUGAGAGAGAGAGAGAGAGAAAGAAUGCAACGUCCCUAAUAAACAGACAGGUGGCAUCUGGCACCAUUGGUUGGCUUACUUGUGUUUUUGUGUCCUCUGCUGUAAGGGACUAGAGGGUACUGAUUAUGAAAAUCACUCAACAUGAUGGAUGACUUUCAAGUUGUGUACUUAGCAUGGACUUGUUUUGUGAUUUGUGUUUGUCAGUUUGAGUAAAUGUCUCUGUUCAUUAUUGUGAA